GAUGAACGCUGGCGAGAUGCCUUACACAUGCAAGUCGUACGAGAAUUUUGAAUUCGAGUGGCGGACGGGUGAGUAACACGUAAGAAUUUACCUUUAGGAGGGGGAUAACAACUGGAAACGGUUGCUAAUACCCCAUAUGCUUUCGAGUGAAAUGGAUUUUCUGCCUAAAGAGAAGCUUGCGGCUGAUUAGCUUGUUGGUGAGGUAAUGGCUUACCAAGGCGACGAUCAGUAUCUGGUUUGAGAGGAUGAUCAGACACACUGGAACUGAGACACGGUCCAGACUUCUACGGGAGGCAGCAGUGGGGAAUUUUCCGCAAUGGGCGAAAGCCUGACGGAGCAAUCUCGCGUGAGGGAUGACGGCCUAUGGGUUGUAAACCUCUUUUUUCAGGGAGGAAUCAAAUGACGUGUACCUGAAGAAUAAGCAUCGGCUAACUCCGUGCCAGCAGCCGCGGUAAGACGGAGGAUGCAAGUGUUAUCCGGAAUCACUGGGCGUAAAGCGUCUGU
RNAcentral lists this ribosomal RNA (504 nucleotides) under uncultured cyanobacterium. RNAcentral's name for it is "bacterial SSU rRNA". It matches the Rfam family "Bacterial small subunit ribosomal RNA", at positions 28 to 572 of the family's 1533-position model. Lineage: Bacteria; Bacillati; Cyanobacteriota. The record is from RNAcentral.